This 252-nucleotide ribosomal RNA is filed under the name uncultured bacterium. RNAcentral's name for it is "partial 16S ribosomal RNA". It matches the Rfam family "Bacterial small subunit ribosomal RNA", at positions 524 to 776 of the family's 1533-position model. The record is from RNAcentral.
UACGUAGGUGGCAAGCGUUAUCCGGAAUUAUUGGGCGUAAAGAGGGAGCAGGCGGCAGCAAAGGUCUGUGGUGAAAGACUGAAGCUUAACUUCAGUAAGCCAUAGAAACCGGGCAGCUAGAGUGCAGGAGAGGAUCGUGGAAUUCCAUGUGUAGCGGUGAAAUGCGUAGAUAUAUGGAGGAACACCAGUGGCGAAGGCAGCGUACCGGCGCCCAACUGACGCUGAAGCACGAAGGCGUGGGUAUCGAACAGG